AGAGUCCAAUGGUUAAUGUUCCAAAAUGGUCAACAGGAGUUAGGAAACCAGAUCGUCUGAAACUCAACCUGGGCUAAAGAGAUGGAGUACAUAGCAAGAAUCUUUGGAUCUGGGAUAAGCAAGACUGCUCCUUGACAGCAGGAAGAAAGCACAGAAGAUGAAGGAAAAGCAUUUGUCACAACCCAGCGCACCUCCCUGAGAAAGACUUAGCAAGAAAAUACAAACACCAGUCUGGUGACCCAAAUUCCUCACAGAGUCCAAACCAAAUGAAGCUCUUCUCCUCAUGGUGGCCUUGCCUGCAGUAAAAAUUGAGUUCCACGAAGAAAGAAGCAAUUUUAGCUUGCAUAUCUGUCACACAUGUGCUUUCCUGGAGUCUCCACUGUAUUUCACUAUGCAGCAGAAAUGCUUCAUGUCCUUGUGACAUUUUUCACAGAAACAUUAAAGGAUGUGUACGAUUGA
Long non-coding RNA from Eptesicus fuscus (big brown bat), 459 nucleotides. RefSeq lists it as uncharacterized. The record is from RefSeq and is a predicted model, not a curated record. NCBI's taxonomy places the organism in Eukaryota, Metazoa, Chordata, Mammalia, Chiroptera, Vespertilionidae. The transcript has 5 exons.